This 1384-nucleotide ribosomal RNA is filed under the name metagenome. Its description in RNAcentral is "bacterial SSU rRNA". It matches the Rfam family "Bacterial small subunit ribosomal RNA", at positions 14 to 1375 of the family's 1533-position model. The record is from RNAcentral.
UGAUCCUGGCUCAGAACGAACGCUGGCGGCGUGGAUUAGGCAUGCAAGUCGAACGAGAACGUUCCCUUCGGGGAACUAGUACAGUGGCGAACGGGUGAGUAACGCGUGGGAAACCUGCCUUUGAGCGGGGGAUAACAGUUCUAACAGGCUGCUAAUACCGCAUGACGCUGUUGAUCGCAUGGUCAAUAGUUAAAGAUGGCCUCUACAUGUAAGCUGUCGCUUAAAGAUGUCCCGCGUCCUAUUAGCUUGUUGGUGAGGUAACGGCUCACCAAGGCUACGAUGGGUAGCCGGCCUGAGAGGGUGGUCGGCCACACUGGGACUGAGAUACGGCCCAGACUCCUACGGGAGGCAGCAGUCGAGAGGCUUCGGCAAUGGGGGAAACCCUGACCAGCGAUGUCGCGUGGGUGAUGAAGGUCCUUGGACCAUAAAACCCUGUCAGAUGGGAUGAAGUGCCGUUUGGUUAAUAGCCACGCGGCUUGACAGUACCGUCAGAGGAAGCUCCGGCCAACUCCGUGCCAGCAGCCGCGGUAAUACGGGGGGAGCAAGCGUUGUUCGGAAUCAUUGGGCGUAAAGAGCUCGUAGGCGGCUCCGUAAGUCAGGGGUGAAAUCCAAUGGCUCAACCAUUGACACGCCUCUGAAACUACGGACCUUGAGUCCGGAAGAGGAAAGCGGAAUUCCAGGAGUAGCGGUGAAAUGCGUAGAUAUCUGGAAGAACACCAGUGGCGAAGGCGGCUUUCUGGUCCGGUACUGACGCUGAGGAGCGAAAGCCAGGGGAGCGAACGGGAUUAGAUACCCCGGUAGUCCUGGCCGUAAACGAUGGGCACUAGGUGUGGGAAGUUCGACCCUUUCCGUGCCGGAGUUAACGCAUUAAGUGCCCCGCCUGGGGAGUACGACCGCAAGGUUGAAACUCAAAGGAAUUGACGGGGGCCCGCACAAGCGGUGGAGCAUGUGGUUUAAUUCGAUGAUACGCGAAGAACCUUACCGGGGCUUGACAUGCAGUGGACCGCCAUGGAAACAUGGUUUCCCCUUUUGGGGCUGUUGCACAGGUGCUGCAUGGUUGUCGUCAGCUCGUGUCGUGAGAUGUUGGGUUAAGUCCCGCAACGAGCGCAACCCUUGUCCUUAGUUGCCAUCAGGUUAUGCUGGGCACUCUACGGAGACUGCCGGUGAUAAACCGGAGGAAGGUGGGGAUGACGUCAAAUCAUCAUGGCCCUUACGUCCCGGGCUACACACGUGCUACAAUGGCCGGCACAGAGGGUUGCGAUGCCGCAAGGUGGAGCGAAUCCCAAAAAGCCGGUCUCAGUUCGGAUUGCAGUCUGCAACUCGACUGCAUGAAGUUGGAAUCGCUAGUAAUCGCGGAUCAGCAUGCCGCGGUGAAUACGUUCCC